CAAAAUUCACGUGGUUACGCAGAAGACCUAGAAUAGCCAAAACAACUCUACGAAGAACAAAGUUGGAGACUUAACAGUUUUCAAACCCCUCAUCCCAACUGUCAGGUACCAACUGCCAUUUUGCAAGGAUCCCCAGGGCAGUUGGACCUGGAAGCUGAGUUCCCUGUCCUUCCCUGGUUGGUGAUCUUCAAGGUCCCAGUGCUGUGCAAGAGUCAGGGGUUCAGAGUUCAGAGCCCCAUCACCCAUCAGUGAUUAGGCGGCAUUGCCCCUCUCCCCCAUAUCUUCCUCACCCAAGUGUGAUGAUUCCAACACACCUGCUCCCAAAAGAAAGGCUGGUUUGUUUGUUCCAUUGGAAACAACCAGGCUUUGAUUAGGAGACAAGUGGCCUGAGGUAUGACAGUGGGAGGGCAAGGAGCUCUAGUUGUAUCCAUCUGUGGUGAGUGUGGUGGCUCUGAAGAAGUGACAUCCUCAUGGGGCAGUUUCUGUAUUCCUCUGACGGAUUUGGUGUAGCUGCAACACUGGACCAUGUCACCUCAUGUGCCUAACACCUUACAAGUUAUAAGGGAAAACAGCAUGUGUCUAAGGAGGCAGAGACUGGAAUGAUACAGCUGCAUGCUAAGAAGGCCAAGAAUUGCUGACCACCCACCUGAAGCUGGGGAAAAGCAAGAAAAGUCUCUACCCAGAGUCUCAGAAGAAGCACAGCCCCGCUGACACCUUGGUUUUGGAUAUCUAGCCUCCAGAACUGUGAGAAAAUAAAUUUUUGUUGUUUUAAGCCCCAAGGUUUGUGGUAAUACAGGGACUUAAUACAGUACAUAGUCAGGUACUCCCUAGCUCUGAACAUCAAAAGAGUCUAGAAACAAUGACAUUCCAGUAGCAAUGAACAU
Molecule: long non-coding RNA, 884 nt
Organism: Acinonyx jubatus (cheetah)
Lineage: Eukaryota; Metazoa; Chordata; Mammalia; Carnivora; Felidae
Exons: 3
Source: RefSeq, a predicted model, not a curated record